This 1291-nucleotide ribosomal RNA is filed under the name Halyomorpha halys (brown marmorated stink bug). RNAcentral describes it as "16S ribosomal RNA". The stretch from base 1035 to 1194 matches the Rfam family "Archaeal large subunit ribosomal RNA", at positions 2542 to 2701 of the family's 2987-position model. The record is from RNAcentral. Lineage: Eukaryota; Metazoa; Arthropoda; Insecta; Hemiptera; Pentatomidae.
UGAUUUUUAUUUUAUAUUUAAUUUUAAAUAUUAUUUUGAAUUAUUAUUAUAGAAAUAACUUUAAUUUUAGUAUUUUUUAAAGAAUUAAUUUUUUAUAUUUAUAGUUUAUCUUACUGUAAGGGUUAAUAAAUUAAUUAUUUUUUAAGUAAAUUUGUUUUAUUGUACCUUUUGUAUCAGGGUUUAUUAAAAAUUUUUUAUUUAUAAAUAAAUAUCCCGAAUUUAAAGGCGACAUUUAUAAUUGUUAUUUAUUGUUUUAUAAUUAUUGAUAAAUUAUAAAUUGGUGUUAUAUGCUAUUCAUCUUUAAUUAUCUGGUUUUUUAAUAAUUGAAUUUAAUUCAUAAUUAAUAUUAUUCAAUUUAUAAUUUUAUUUUUAUUGUUAUUUUAAUUUAAGAUUUAAGGGGAUAAGCUCUUAAAUUGUUUCUAUGAUAAAUAUUUAUAUUAAAUUUUUGUAGGAUUAGAAAUUUUCAUCAUUUAUUUUGUUAUAAUUAUGCUUUAUUUAUAAUUUAUUUUAUAUUUAUUUAGAUUUUUAUUAAAAAUUUUUAUUAAAUAUUUUAAUAAAAGAUAUAAUGAUAAAAUUAGUAUAUUUUAUAUUUAAUUUAUAGUAACUCGGCAAUUUUAUUCUUCACCUGUUUAACAAAAACAUGUCCUAAUGAUUAAUUAGUAUUAGGUUUGACCUGCUCAAUGAAUAAUUUUAAAUAGCCGCAGUAUCUUGACUGUGCGAAGGUAGCAUAAUCAUUUGUCUUUUAAUUGAAGGCUGGAAUGAACGGUCGGAUGAAGGAAUAUCUUUCUUUAUAUUAAAUUAUUGAAUUUAAUUUUUUGGUUAAAAAGCUAAAAUUUUUAAAUGGGACGAGAAGACCCUAUAGAAUUUUAUUUUUAUUAGAAAUAUUAAUAUUUAUUGGUUAAUUAUAUAUUUAUUUUUAUUGAAAUUUUGUUGGGGAGACAUUGAGAUUAUUUUAACUCUCAUAUUUAUAUUAUUUAUGAAUAAUUAUAUUUAGGAUCUUAACUUUUUAGAUAUUUAGAUUAAAUUACCUUAGGGAUAACAGCGUAAUUUUUUUGGAGAGUUCUUAUCGAUAAAGGAGUUUGCGACCUCGAUGUUGGAUUAAAAUAAGAUUUAAGUGCAGAAGCUUAAUUUUCUAGGUCUGUUCGACCUUUAAUUUUUUACAUGAUCUGAGUUCAGACCGGCGUGAGCCAGGUCGGUUUCUAUCUUUUUUGUAAAUUAAAUUGUGAGUUAGUACGAAAGGACCAUUUACAACAAAUAUUUUGUUUAAUUAUUGAAUUAUUUUAACUAUUUU